Molecule: long non-coding RNA, 1286 nt
Organism: Mastomys coucha (southern multimammate mouse)
Lineage: Eukaryota; Metazoa; Chordata; Mammalia; Rodentia; Muridae
Exons: 4
Source: RefSeq, a predicted model, not a curated record
UUAUGAGACAUCUACCUAGUUCUCCUUUCAGCUUCCAAGAUGGAAUAAAGAGGCUACGACAGUGCUAAAACACAGAGCAUAGAUGUUGAUCAUAUAAAUAUUCAGCAAUCAUUCAUGUCUCGGUUCUUCCAUCCAAGUUUUAUGUCUUGUGUGAUCUUCAGGGUAUAGUUAAGAAUCUGUGUCCCUUCAAUCCUUGGCCUAGCAGCACUAUGGAGUUGGACUGAAAAGCUUGUGAAAGCCUUUAUUCUGCACAUUCACGGCUAAAGGAGAGCUACGUGUUUGCUUUGACACACCAUUUGCAAAUGGAAACAAUACCACAUUCACGUGAAAACGAAUCUCCCCCAACCCUGCAAUAGAAGCCACAAAGCUUUAAGUCACACGCUGUGGCAGAGACAAUAAAACAAGCCAGGCAAGAAUUCCAGCUUUCAGCUUUAUCAAAACUGUGUAGAAAAAUGAAAACAGAUAGUAUCCAUAUGGAUCAGCUCUAAAUGUGCUUUCAAGAACCCACUCGAGGCUUGGAACCAAUCCCUUUCAGACAAGAAGGACUCAUGUAGCUUAGCAUUUCUGACUAACCUGCCUCAAAUACUGAGUUACAAGAUGGAAUCAACUUUAAAUGCGCAUGUGUAAACCAGUUCAUUUCUUAGGAGCACUUGGAAAAAUAUUAACUCAGUCCCCAGCAACUCACCUUCUAAUGUGCUAAAAUAACGUGUUUCCACUUCACUCAUGGAAAGUGGGUGAGCAACUUUUAAGAGAUCUUGAAAAGACAGUCACCUUUACAAAUAUGCCAGGUUUCAUUCAGAGGUGUGCAAGGAGCACACACAGGAAGGUGGGAGAAGAAGAAACCCGCUUUUGCUGUUUGGAUGCCGGUAACCGAAGCCAGUCUGGAUUUGGAUGCCAGGGGAUUGUGUAAGGAUGAAGAUAAGACAAACAACCCAACAAAGGAAAUCUGAAGCUUGCUAUACGCUUAAAAGACACCCAAACCAUGCCACAGCAAACCACACGUCCCCUCGAUGAAGCUCAUCUCAAGGACGUGUUCUUGGUGACAUCUGUCACAGGAUGCUUCCUCUAAGUAUUCUGAAGAGAACGAAGGGGAAAGCAAACCAAUAACUUCUUUUCAUCUGUGCCUAAAGAGCGUCAGCUCCGAAAACAUGCACCUAGCAAUCUGGGCUCCAUGUGAAGAUCGCUACAGUAAUAACAGUAAAAUGGCAGAGCAAACGUGUGAGCCGGAGCCGCCGCCGCCACUUCCUCCUUUAUGUGUUCUCCUUAAUUGCCAGAAGAUAUUAUUU